RNAcentral lists this ribosomal RNA (460 nucleotides) under uncultured bacterium. Its description in RNAcentral is "partial 16S ribosomal RNA". It matches the Rfam family "Bacterial small subunit ribosomal RNA", at positions 338 to 795 of the family's 1533-position model. The record is from RNAcentral.
CCUACGGGAGGCAGCAGUGAGGAAUAUUGGUCAAUGGGCGCUAGCCUGAACCAGCCAAGUCGCGUGAAGGAUGACUGCCCUAUGGGUUGUAAACUUCUUUUAUAUGGGAGUAAAGUGCAGUAUGUAUACUGCUUUGCAUGUACCUUAUGAAUAAGGAUCGGCUAACUCCGUGCCAGCAGCCGCGGUAAUACGGAGGAUCCGAGCGUUAUCCGGAUUUAUUGGGUUUAAAGGGAGCGUAGGCGGGUUGUUAAGUCAGUUGUGAAAGUUUGAGGCUCAACCGUAAAAUUGCAGUUGAUACUGGCAGCCUUGAGUACAGGAGAGGUAGGCGGAAUGCGUGGUGUAGCGGUGAAAUGCUUAGAUAUCACGAAGAACUCCGAUUGCGAAGGCAGCCUGCUGGACUGUAACUGACGCUGAUGCACGAAAGUGUGGGUAUCAAACAGGAUUAGAUACCCUAGUAGUC